UGGGGAAUAUUGGACAAUGGGCGCAAGCCUGAUCCAGCCAUGCCGCGUGAGUGAUGAAGGCCUUAGGGUUGUAAAGCUCUUUCGCCGACGAAGAUAAUGACGGUAGUCGGAGAAGAAGCCCCGGCUAACUUCGUGCCAGCAGCCGCGGUAAUACGAAGGGGGCUAGCGUUGUUCGGAAUCACUGGGCGUAAAGCGCACGUAGGCGGAUUGUUAAGUCAGGGGUGAAAGCCUGGAGCUCAACUCCAGAACUGCCCUUGAUACUGGCAAUCUCGAGUCCGGAAGAGGUAAGUGGAACUGCGAGUGUAGAGGUGAAAUUCGUAGAUAUUCGCAAGAACACCAGUGGCGAAGGCGGCUUACUGGUCCGGUACUGACGCUGAGGUGCGAAAAGCGUGGGGAGCAAAACAGGAUUAGAUACCCUGGUAGUCCACGCCGUAAAACGAUGGAGGCUAGCCGUUGGCGAGCAUGCUCGUCAGUGGCGCAGCUAACGCAUUAAGCCUCCCGCCUGGGGAGUACGGUCGCAAGAUUAAAAACUUAAAUGAAUUGACGGGGGUCAUAGCUGUUUCCU
Molecule: ribosomal RNA, 565 nt
Filed under: uncultured bacterium
Lineage: Bacteria
Description: partial 16S ribosomal RNA
Rfam family: Bacterial small subunit ribosomal RNA
Source: RNAcentral